GAUGAACGCUGGCGGCGUGCUUAACACAUGCAAGUCGAACGAUGAAGCCCAGCUUGCUGGGUGGAUUAGUGGCGAACGGGUGAGUAACACGUGAGUAACCUGCCCUUGACUCUGGGAUAAGCCUGGGAAACUGGGUCUAAUACUGGAUAUGACUUCUCAUCGCAUGGUGGGGGGUGGAGAGAUUUAUUGGUCUUGGAUGGACUCGCGGCCUAUCAGCUUAUUGGUGAGUUAAUGGCUCACCAAUGCGACGACGGGUAGCCGGCCUGAGAGGGUGACCGGCAACACUGUGAGUGAGACUAGGCCCAGACUGCUGCGGAAGGCAGCAGUGGGGAAUAUUGCAAUAAGGGCGCAAGCCCGAUGCAGCGACGACGAGUGGGGGAUGACGGCCUUCGGGUUGUAGACCUCUUUCAGUAGGGAAGAAGCGAGAGUGACGGUAACUGCAUGAGAAGAGCCAGCUAACUAGGUG
This 466-nucleotide ribosomal RNA is filed under the name uncultured bacterium. RNAcentral's name for it is "partial 16S ribosomal RNA". It matches the Rfam family "Bacterial small subunit ribosomal RNA", at positions 28 to 507 of the family's 1533-position model. The record is from RNAcentral.